CUUCUUUCCUCCCGAGUGCUUGCACCCAAUUGGAAAGAGGAGUGGCGGACGGGUGAGUAACACGUGGGUAACCUACCCAUCAGAGGGGGAUAACACUUGGAAACAGGUGCUAAUACCGCAUAACAGUUUAUGCCGCAUGGCAUAAGAGUGAAAGGCGCUUUCGGGUGUCGUUGAUGGAUGGACCCGCGGUGCAUUAGCUAGUUGGUGAGGUAACGGCUCACCAAGGCCACGAUGCAUAGCCGACCUGAGAGGGUGAUCGGCCACACUGGGACUGAGACACGGCCCAGACUCCUACGGGAGGCAGCAGUAGGGAAUCUUCGGCAAUGGACGAAAGUCUGACCGAGCAACGCCGCGUGAGUGAAGAAGGUUUUCGGAUCGUAAAACUCUGUUGUUAGAGAAGAACAAGGACGUUAGUAACUGAACGUCCCCUGACGGUAUCUAACCAGAAAGCCACGGCUAACUACGUGCCAGCAGCCGCGGUAAUACGUAGGUGGCAAGCGUUGUCCGGAUUUAUUGGGCGUAAAGCGAGCGCAGGCGGUUUCUUAAGUCUGAUGUGAAAGCCCCCGGCUCAACCGGGGAGGGUCAUUGGAAACUGGGAGACUUGAGUGCAGAAGAGGGGAGUGGAAUUCCAUGUGUAGCGGUGAAAUGCGUAGAUAUAUGGAGGAACACCAGUGGCGAAGGCGGCUCUCU
RNAcentral lists this ribosomal RNA (690 nucleotides) under uncultured Bacilli bacterium. Its description in RNAcentral is "bacterial SSU rRNA". It matches the Rfam family "Bacterial small subunit ribosomal RNA", at positions 69 to 730 of the family's 1533-position model. Lineage: Bacteria; Bacillati; Bacillota; Bacilli. The record is from RNAcentral.